This 1759-nucleotide long non-coding RNA is filed under the name Ricinus communis (castor bean). Its description in RNAcentral is "long non-coding RNA (RCOM_LNC001551)". The record is from RNAcentral. Lineage: Eukaryota; Viridiplantae; Streptophyta; Magnoliopsida; Malpighiales; Euphorbiaceae.
GAAUAAAUAACAAUGGGGAUGUUACUGUAGCAAGUCUUUUAAGGGGGGGUCUAAACAUAAUUUUCUUUUUUGAGAAAUUGCCAAAGGACCCUUAUGCACAUUUCCCCCUUGCGGUCGACUUCUCCUCCAAUUUCUGUUUUCCAGCCGCCAUUGGAUGUUGACCUCCGGCCAAGGGAAGUUUUCGACGUCAUCAGCAUCGUGACGCCUCCUUUCCCUACCUGAAGCCGCCGGUAGCAUCGAGGGAGAAGGAAAGAAGAUUGUCCCUCUGCUGCCGGCGUUUUCCUGCCAAUCAAAUGCUAGAAAUAAUUUCCCCGCCCCCUAAAACCCAACCUGGACAAUUGCAGCCUCUGACACUACCUCUAGACCAGUGAUCGAAGUGGGUGUGGUUUCGCUGGACUUGUUCAAUUUUUGGUGUUUUUGGUGCCCUUCCGGUGGUCAUUUAGAGAAGGUAGCUGCAUAUCCAGACUCUUAUCACCCCGAUCUACAAAUUGGCAUCCUCGGAUUCAAUUUUCAUCACUGUCAAAAAAUUCCAGCGAACAGACUCUGGUGACCUCGUGACGCGUGCUGGCAGGCAGAAAAGUCCGUCUCGGCUUCUCGAUUUAUCAUGUGCUAAUUUUGCAAAUUUAACUCGUCCUGGUAAAAAUAUUAGACUCGAGAAAUUAAUUUAAUUUGACUUAAUAUUUGUUUAUAGUUAUAUAAUUUAUUUAAUUAGUGGUUUUAAUGUAGUUAAUUCUUAUAAAUUAAUUAUUAAUUUUAUUGUGGCUUAAUUUUUGGAUAAUUUAAAUUAUCAGUUAGUUAGAUACGUUAGAUUUUGGCUUAUGAUUAAAUUAAAAAUUUUGAGAAAUUAUUUAUGAAUUGAUUGUGAAAUAAAUAUUUAUGUUGGGUUGUUAUUUAAUAUUUGUGAUAUAAGUUGUGUUGCGGAAUCGGAAAAAUAAUGCAGAUAUAGGUGACCUGACUCCUGUUAAAUAAUUGAUGAACAUUAGAAGUGUUUUUAGAAGGUUCUGGAUCUGUUAUACGGGGAGUAAACGUCUGAUUUUAUGAGAGGUUCUAUCGAAUUUUCAAUAGAAUUUUCAAGUUGGAAUCAAUCAAAUUUUUUUUUUUUUUGAAUUUUGAUAUAAUACGCAUGUAACUAUUACAAGAGUCGUUACAAUUGAAUUUUGAUAUAAUUAAAUUUUGAAUUUUCUAUAAUAUUAUAUAUUAUUUAAAUAAUUAUUUUAUAUAGAUGGUUGCUUUUAUUUCAGAUUAUAUGAUUUUAACUCACUCUCGAGACUGACAGUCUCAAUUUAAUAAUUUUUUUAGGUGUCAGCUUGGUCUUCUACAGUUCCUCUCGUUCAGGCAGCCCGACUCUUUCCUUCCUCGGACUUAAUGUAACUAUUUUUCUUGUAUUUCUAAUUACUUAAAUUUCUAGAUAUUUUGCAAUAUUUGCAUUCAGACUUAAUAUUUCUAUUCGACAUAAUGAACAAUCUAAUGAUGUAUUAAUUUUAUUAUUGUUGAUGAACCGAUAUAAAUUCUAUUGUAAUUGUAUGGAUGGAUAUUAAUAGAUAAAGUAUUUGGUAUAUUAAAUGAAAUUAUAUUUUAAUUAAUUUAUUGAUCAGUCAUACUUGCUAGGAAUUUCGGUGGCUUUAUGCCUACCUAUUUCCUAGCGCCGAUUACGGACCCACAAAUUGGAACGUGAUAAUCUUUUUCUCUUAAUCAGUUAACAUCAUCAAUCUCAUUUCAAGCAUUGCACUAUUGUUUUACAUGUUUGUGCCAAUGCUAG